This 225-nucleotide ribosomal RNA is filed under the name uncultured bacterium. RNAcentral's name for it is "partial 16S ribosomal RNA". It matches the Rfam family "Bacterial small subunit ribosomal RNA", at positions 945 to 1167 of the family's 1533-position model. The record is from RNAcentral.
GGUUUUAAUUCGAUGAUACGCGAGGAACCUUACCCGGGCUUGAACUGCAGGAGAACGAUUCAGAGAUGAUGAGGUCCUUCGGGACUCCUGUGGAGGUGCUGCAUGGUUGUCGUCAGCUCGUGCCGUGAGGUGUCGGCUUAAGUGCCAUAACGAGCGCAACCCCUCUCCGUAGUUGCCAUCGGGUGAUGCCGGGCACUCUGCGGACACUGCCACCGUAAGGUGUGA